UACCAGCUCUCCGAGUGGUGUGGAUGUUUAUUGGGCCUAAAGCAUCCGUAGCUGGCUGGACAAGUCCCCUGUUAAAUCCACCGAUUUAAUCGUUGGAGUGCGGGGGAUACUGUUCGGCUAGGGGACGGGAGAGGCAGACGGUAUUUUCGGGGUAGGGUGGAAUCCUAUAAUCCCGGGAAGACCACCAGUGGCGAAGGCUGUCUGCUAGAACGCGCCCGACGGUGAGGGAUGAAAGCUGGGGGAGCGAACCGGAUUAGAUACCCGGGUAGUCCCAGCUGUAAACGAUGCAGGCUAGGUGUUUGGGCGGCCACGUGCCGCUCUAGUGCCGCAGGGAAGCCGUUAAGCCUGCCGCCUGGGGAGUACGGCCGCAAGGCUGAAACUUAAAGGAAUUGGCGGGGAGCACCACAAGGGGUGAAGCUUGCGGUUU
RNAcentral lists this ribosomal RNA (427 nucleotides) under uncultured archaeon. Its description in RNAcentral is "bacterial SSU rRNA". It matches the Rfam family "Archaeal small subunit ribosomal RNA", at positions 474 to 903 of the family's 1478-position model. The record is from RNAcentral.